UACGGGGGGGGCAAGCGUUGUUCGGAAUUACUGGGCGUAAAGCGCACGUAGGCGGACUAUUAAGUCAGGGGUGAAAUCCCGGGGCUCAACCCCGGAACUGCCUUUGAUACUGGUAGUCUUGAGUUCGAGAGAGGUGAGUGGAAUUCCGAGUGUAGAGGUGAAAUUCGUAGAUAUUCGGAGGAACACCAGUGGCGAAGGCGGCUCACUGGCUCGAUACUGACGCUGAGGUGCGAAAGCGUGGGGAGCAAACAGG
This 253-nucleotide ribosomal RNA is filed under the name uncultured bacterium. RNAcentral's name for it is "partial 16S ribosomal RNA". It matches the Rfam family "Bacterial small subunit ribosomal RNA", at positions 524 to 776 of the family's 1533-position model. The record is from RNAcentral.